UUUUUAGUAUAAGUAUAUCCCAUGCAAUAUUCAGAACAUACUUAUACUAAAA
Molecule: non-coding RNA, 52 nt
Organism: Canis lupus familiaris (dog)
Lineage: Eukaryota; Metazoa; Chordata; Mammalia; Carnivora; Canidae
Source: Rfam